GAUGAACGCUGGCGGCGUGCCUAAUACAUGCAAGUCGAGCGAACGGACGAGAAGCUUGCUUUUCUGAUGUUAGCGGCGGACGGGUGAGUAACACGUGGAUAACCUACCUAUAAGACUGGGAUAACUUCGGGAAACCGGAGCUAAUACCGGAUAAUAUUUUGAACCGCAUGGUUCAAAAGUGAAAGACGGUCUUGCUGUCACUUAUAGAUGGAUCCGCGCUGCAUUAGCUAGUUGGUAAGGUAACGGCUUACCAAGGCAACGAUGCAUAGCCGACCUGAGAGGGUGAUCGGCCACACUGGAACUGAGACACGGUCCAGACUCCUACGGGAGGCAGCAGUAGGGAAUCUUCCGCAAUGGGCGAAAGCCUGACGGAGCAACGCCGCGUGAGUGAUGAAGGUCUUCGGAUCGUAAAACUCUGUUAUUAGGGAAGAACAUAUGUGUAAGUAACUGUGCACAUCUUGACGGUACCUAAUCAGAAAGCCACGGCUAACUACGUGCCAGCAGCCGCGGUAAUACGUAGGUGGCAAGCGUUAUCCGGAAUUAUUGGGCGUAAAGCGCGCGUAGGCGGUUUUUUAAGUCUGAUGUGAAAGCCCCACGGCUCAACCGUGGGAGGGUCAUUGGAAACUGGAAAACUUGAGUGCAGAAGAGGAAAGUGGAAUUCCAUGUUGUAGCGGGUGAAAUGCGCAGAGAUAUGUGAGGAACACCAGUGGCGAAGGCAACUCUUCUGGCUCGUGUUACUGUACGCUGAUGUGCGAAAGCGUGGGGAUCAAACAGGAUUAGAUACCCUGGUAGUCCACGCCGUAAACGAUGAGUGCUAAGUGUUAGGGGGGUUUCCGCCCCUUAGUGCUGCAGCUAACGCAUUAAGCACUCCGCCUGGGGAGUACGACCGCAAGGUUGAAACUCAAAGGAAUUGACGGGGACCCGCACAAGCGGUGGAGCAUGUGGUUUAAUUCGAAGCAACGCGAAGAACCUUACCAAAUCUUGACAUCCUUUGACAACUCUAGAGAUAGAGCCUUCCCCUUCGGGGGACAAAGUGACAGGUGGUGCAUGGUUGUCGUCAGCUCGUGUCGUGAGAUGUUGGGUUAAGUCCCGCAACGAGCGCAACCCUUAAGCUUAGUUGCCAUCAUUAAGUUGGGCACUCUAAGUUGACUGCCGGUGACAAACCGGAGGAAGGUGGGGAUGACGUCAAAUCAUCAUGCCCCUUAUGAUUUGGGCUACACACGUGCUACAAUGGACAAUACAAAGGGCAGCGAAACCGCGAGGUCAAGCAAAUCCCAUAAAGUUGUUCUCAGUUCGGAUUGUAGUCUGCAACUCGACUACAUGAAGCUGGAAUCGCUAGUAAUCGUAGAUCAGCAUGCUACGGUGAAUACGUUCCCGGGUCU
RNAcentral lists this ribosomal RNA (1382 nucleotides) under uncultured bacterium. RNAcentral's name for it is "bacterial SSU rRNA". It matches the Rfam family "Bacterial small subunit ribosomal RNA", at positions 28 to 1381 of the family's 1533-position model. The record is from RNAcentral.